AGGGGGUUAGGGUUAUGGGACAGGGGGUUAGGGUUAUGGGACAGGGGGUUAGGGUAAUGUGACAGGGAUUUAGGGUUAUGGGACAGGACAAGGGGGUUUAGGAUUGUGGGACAGGGAGAUAGGGUUAUGGGACAGUUGGUUAGGGUCAUGGGACACGUAUUUAGGGUUAUGGGACAGGGAGAUAGGGUUAUGUGACAGGGGUUUAGGGUUAUGGGACAUGAGGUUAGGUUUUAGGGUUAUGGGACAGUGUGUUAGGGUUAUGGGACAGGGGUUUAGGGUUUAGGGUUAUGGGACAGGGGGUUAGGGUUAUGGGACAGGGGGUUAGGGUUAUGGGACAGGGGGUUAGGAUUAUGGGACAGGGCUUUAGGGUUAUGGGACGGGGUGUUAUGUUUAUG
Oncorhynchus tshawytscha (Chinook salmon) is the source of this 395-nucleotide long non-coding RNA. The record is from Ensembl. Lineage: Eukaryota; Metazoa; Chordata; Actinopteri; Salmoniformes; Salmonidae.